RNAcentral lists this ribosomal RNA (410 nucleotides) under uncultured bacterium. RNAcentral's name for it is "bacterial SSU rRNA". It matches the Rfam family "Bacterial small subunit ribosomal RNA", at positions 29 to 486 of the family's 1533-position model. The record is from RNAcentral.
AGCGAACGCUGGCGGCAGGCCUAAUACAUGCAAGUCGAACGGUCUCUUCGGAGGCAGUGGCGGACGGGUGAGUAACGCGUGGGAACGUGCCCUUUGGUACGGAACAACUGAGGGAAACUUCAGCUAAUACCGUAUGUGCCCUUCGGGGGAAAGAUUUAUCGCCAUUGGAGCGGCCCGCGUUGGAUUAGCUAGUUGGUGGGGUAAUGGCCCACCAAGGCGACGAUCCAUAGCUGGUCUGAGAGGAUGAUCAGCCACACUGGGACUGAGACACGGCCCAGACUCCUACGGGAGGCAGCAGUAGGGAAUCUUGCGCAAUGGGCGAAAGCCUGACGCAGCCAUGCCGCGUGAAUGAUGAAGGUCUAGGAUUGUAAAUUCUUUCACCGGGGACGAUAAUGACGGUACCCGGAGAA